Molecule: long non-coding RNA, 1048 nt
Organism: Homo sapiens (human)
Lineage: Eukaryota; Metazoa; Chordata; Mammalia; Primates; Hominidae
Source: Ensembl
GGCGCUUCAGCGGCGAGUGCUGUUUCCGCCCCAGACCCGGUUCAAACGCUGCUGCCGACGCGCACUGUAUAGCUGCAUAAGCUGCUCGUAGGGCACGUCCAGCAUCUGGUCCAGGCCCACACCGCGAAAAAAAGGUUUACCACAGUGGCUCAAGGAAAACGGAACCAGAGUAAGACAGUUUCUACUUGGACUUGGGGAACCAGCAAACUCAUUCACUUACAAUCAAGAACAAACCGAUUAAAUUGAAUAAAGAAUCUGGCAAAUCUAGCUACUAUGGUUUGGCUUAGUGUCCCCACCCAAAUCUCAUGUCGAAUGUGCUGGAGAAGGAGCCUGGUGGGAGGUGAUUGGAUCAUGGGGGUGAAUUUCCUCCUUGCUGUUCUCAUGAAUGUCACUCAAAGGAGCCAAGCCCCUUUGUCAAAUCAGGAGCUCCAUCAGCCAAUCAGGAACCCAGAUGCCAGCGUGGGAGUUUGUCAGUGGAAAUAACAUUGCAUGACUUCCAAGUCUGGGUAAGAAAAGGUGACAUAUCUAUCCCCGGCUUUCUUGGGACAGGUAGCUACCUUGAACUCUGGGCCUCCAUUCUGGAGCAGCUACUUAGACACAGAGGGAGAUGCCCAAGAAGUCCUAGGCUGCUCUAUCCUCCCACCUGUUUUAGUACCUACAUCAACAUGAAUGAAUAGACUUGAGAUAGUCUCAGCUUCCAGUCCCCAGUUCCUAGCCGGUAAUGAGUAGAGCGGAGACAAACUGUUAUACCAAUCCUUGUCCAAAUUGCAGAUUCGUGAGCAAAAUGUUGUUUUAAUUCACAGCAAUAGUUAUUGGGAAAAAUGACCAAUUUGUUUGUUUCUGUAUGUAUGAAUGUUUUGCUUAUCUGGAAUGUUCGUCAGUUAACUACAUGGGUACCAAACUUUGCUCAACUUGAAAACUAACUAUGUGUCUGAUAGUACUCCAAAAGUCAUUGUUAAACAGUUAGCACCCAGUAACAUUUUCCUACAAAUACAUGUUUAAUGAACCUUAGAUAUAAUGUAGAUUAGUCUUUAAAAAAAAAAAACAA